GAAUAAAGAAAUUAUUACGAGAUGAUGAUAAUAAUAAUAAUAAGGGAUAAUUGCCUAUAUACCUCCUUAUACAUUUGAAAAUAUCCGAUUUACCUCUACUUUUUUUACUUUCUAAAUUAUCCCUCGUAUGUUCCACCAUUAUUGUAAAAUACCCAGAUUAAACGUGAGUUAAAUAUCUACCACAGUUAAAAAAAAUUAAAAUGUCAAUUUUGUCCUUAACUUAAGGAUAAAUAAAAAAUAGGCCUUUUUGCACAAAAAAUUCACUUAUUUUGGGCUUUUGCAAAACCGGGUCACCUUUUUCGUUUUUGCAGAUUCGGUCCGCUUUUUCAGCAAACUGACCAAAAUACCCUUAUUACUUUUUCUCUUUCCUCUUUCUCUCUCCUCUUCGUUUCUGUCGUUCUUUUUUUUUUUUUCUCGCCGAAAA
This 424-nucleotide long non-coding RNA is filed under the name Ananas comosus (pineapple). RNAcentral describes it as "long non-coding RNA (ACOM_LNC029373)". Lineage: Eukaryota; Viridiplantae; Streptophyta; Magnoliopsida; Poales; Bromeliaceae. The record is from RNAcentral.